CGGAUGUUGUGAAUUAGGAGCUGGCCAAAGAGUGGGAGAGCUCCAGUAUCCCUCCCCAGAAAAGAUUUGGAAGCAUGGCUGCUAAGAAGCUAAGAAGAGCACAGUUGUCUCAGGAAAUGUGUGAAAGGCUGAGUCGCUAUCAGAUCACUACCUGUCAGGAGUUCUUAUGUCUUUCCCUCUUGGAGCUAAUGAAAGUGACGGGACAGAGCUACUAUGAGGUGCAGAAGCUUCUUUGUAAAGUCAGCCGAGCCUGUGCUCCCAAAAUGCAGACGGCUUAUGAAAUGAAACUAAGGAAGUCUGGUAAUCCUUCUUCAGCCUUUUUAUCCACCACACUUCAUAGUUUGGAUAGGAUCCUGCAUGGUGGAGUGCCUUGUGGAUCCCUCACAGAGAUAACUAGCCCACCAGGUUGUGGAAAAACUCAAUUUUGUAUUAUGUUGAGUGUUCUGGCUACACUGCCUAUAAGCAUGGGAGGACUAGAUGGGGCUGUUAUAUACAUCGACACGGAGUCUGCAUUCAGUGCUGAAAGGUUGAUUGAGAUGGCAGCAAAGAGAUUCCCUGCUUAUUUUGACACAGAUGAGAAGCUGCUCUGCAUGACCCGUAGCAUCCACCUGUACCGAGAGCUCACCUGUUGCAGUGUACUGAAGAGGAUUAUGUCUUUGGAAGAAGAAAUUAUUUCAAAGAAAGUUAAACUUAUAAUAAUUGACUCUGUUGCUUCAGUUGUCAGAAAGGAGUUUGAUACAAAACUCCAGGGCAAUCUGGCAGAGAGAAGUAACUUUUUGACUAGAGGAGCAUCAGUGCUGAAGUGUUUGGCAGAGGAGUUCUCAAUACCAGUUAUCUUGACGAAUCAGAUUACCACAUCUCUGAGCAGUGGCCCUGGGAUCCGGGCAGACCUGGUGUCUCCAGCUGAUGAUUUGUCCCUGUCUGAAGGAUCUUCUGUGAGUGGGAAGAGGGAUUCUGGUUGUGUGACAGCAGCCCUUGGCAACACGUGGAGCCACAGCGUCAACACCAGGCUCAUACUACAAUACCAUGACUUGCCAACAAGACAGCUCCUGGUUGCUAAAUCCCCUGUUGCUCCGUUCUCCACUUUUUUCUACACCAUUGAGAAAUCGGGCUUGGUUCUUCAGGUGAUCAUUAUUUCUGUGGAAAGAGGAAGUGAGAAAAUCACCAGGAAAUGUCUGCUUUGGAUAAGAUGCAGAAAGUGGCACCAGGCUGCCCUGUUCAAGAGAGGCUAGAGUUUCUCUGAGUUGUACUUGGUGCAUCUUUCCACAUUGAAGCUGGGUGCAGACUAGAGAAAUGAAAUGUGAUGACUGAAAAGCAAGAUUGGACAGUCAGAAAUUUAGCAAGAAAAGUCUUCAGCCUCCUCCUUUCAUUGCUUCAGAUUGCUCUGUGCUAUAGAAGGAGUGGACUGCAACCCCAAAAAUACCCUCAGUUGCCUUUACAUUGCAAUGCAAUGUCAUGUUCUGCCAUACUGUACAGUGUCAUUCUUUGAUGAACCUGAAUUGUGAGUGCAGAAUCCAGUCUGACAACCAAUCUCUAUUUUGUUGAGAUCUUAGACAAAAAGGCAGAAAAAACUGGAUCUAAGCUCUGCAAAAUAUUGGAAGUUUUGCUGUCAGCUUAGGUUUCCUGUUCUGAGAACUUGCUAUUUCAAUAUAACAUUUUCAGUGAGUGAAGUCAUACCAUUAAAAAGGAGACUAAAAUUAAAA
This is a non-coding RNA of Cyanistes caeruleus (blue tit), 1703 nucleotides long. The record is from RefSeq and is a predicted model, not a curated record. Lineage: Eukaryota; Metazoa; Chordata; Aves; Passeriformes; Paridae.